GGGCCUGCUGCAGUCCCCAGAGACCCGCACUGGGGCGCUACUGGCCGUGUCCUCCAUGGUCCAUACGCUGUGCCUGAGAAUGACAUCGCCUUGCAGCCUGUUGCCCCAGGUCCAGCAGCUGCUGAAGGUUCUCAAGGAGAUGUUGGAGGAACUCUGUGGGGAAGGAGAUGGGUCACAACUCACUGAGAAGCUCCACGUGCUGAAAGCCGUGGGGAACGCCGGCCUGGCUGCUGCCACCCUCAUCCCUGAGCUUGAGGUGUGUGCCCAGAGCCAAUACACUCCUAUGGAGCUUCGCCUCGCCGCCAUCCAGGCCUUCAGGCGAAUCCCCUGCACAGCAGACAGACGAGCGCUUCUGCAGCUGUACUGCUCCCCUCGGGAGGACGUUGAGGUCCGCAUCGCCGCC
Molecule: long non-coding RNA, 403 nt
Filed under: Scleropages formosus (Asian bonytongue)
Lineage: Eukaryota; Metazoa; Chordata; Actinopteri; Osteoglossiformes; Osteoglossidae
Description: lncRNA (ENSSFOG00015031234.1)
Source: RNAcentral